AACGCAUAUUGCGGUCGAGGCUUCUGCCAAGACCAUGUCUGCCUCAGCGUCGGGUUUAUAUCACUCUCCUUAUACAUUGUAUAAGUACUCAGAGAGUGGACCUGGCCGUUCCAGCUAGGCCGGGUGCUUUCUUAUGAAUGCGCCCACAAAGCUCUGGAUCGGCUGAAGAUCAGAGUUCCGAUCGAGGACCCGUCAAGGGCCGCAACUGGGUGGGCAUUUCCAAUGCUAAGCUUUAGUUGUUGGCCUGGGAUUUCGGUUGUCGACCUCAAACAGGAAAACCCACAACUUUAUAUUCUCGACCUGAGCUCAGGCAAGAACACCCGCUGAACUUAA
This 333-nucleotide unclassified non-coding RNA is filed under the name uncultured fungus. RNAcentral describes it as "partial contains 5.8S ribosomal RNA, internal transcribed spacer 2, and large subunit ribosomal RNA". The record is from RNAcentral. Lineage: Eukaryota; Fungi.